GAUGAACGUUGGCGGUGUGCCUAAUACAUGCAAGUCGAACGGAGUUAAUAGCAAUAUUGACUUAGUGGCGAACGGGUGAGUAACGCGUUGGUGAUCUGCCUUGAAGUGUGGAAUAACGCUCCGAAAGGAGCGCUAAUACCGCAUGUGCUCUCAAUUUUUAGAAAGUUGAGAGGAAAGGAUUUAUUCGCUUCGAGAGGAGCCUGCGUCCCAUCAGCUGGUUGGUAGGGUAAAGGCCUACCAAGGCAAUGACGGGUAGGGGACCUGAGAGGGUGGCCCCCCACAAUGGAACUGAAACACGGUCCAUACACCUACGGGUGGCAGCAGUAGGGAAUAUUAGAAAUGGACGAAAGUCUGAUCUAGCAACACCGCGUGUGCGAAGAAGGCCUUGGGUCGUAAAGCACUUUUUGGAAGGAAUAGGAAGGAAUGUACUUCCAGAAUAAGUCUCGGUCUAACUACGUGCCAGCGAGCCGCGGUAAACUGUAGUCGU
RNAcentral lists this ribosomal RNA (487 nucleotides) under uncultured bacterium. RNAcentral describes it as "bacterial SSU rRNA". It matches the Rfam family "Bacterial small subunit ribosomal RNA", at positions 28 to 532 of the family's 1533-position model. The record is from RNAcentral.